Molecule: ribosomal RNA, 216 nt
Filed under: uncultured bacterium
Lineage: Bacteria
Description: partial 16S ribosomal RNA
Rfam family: Bacterial small subunit ribosomal RNA
Source: RNAcentral
GUAUGGGGAUCUGCCUGAUAGAGGGGGAUAACUACUGGAAACGGUGGCUAAUACCGCAUAAUGUCUACGGACCAAAGCAGGGGCUCUUCGGACCUUGCACUAUCGGAUGAACCCAUAUGGGAUUAGCUAGUAGGUGGGGUAAAGGCUCACCUAGGCGACGAUCUCUAGCUGGUCUGAGAGGAUGAUCAGCCACACUGGGACUGAGACACGGCCCAG